UACGGAGGGGGCUAGCGUUGUUCGGAAUUACUGGGCGUAAAGCGCGCGUAGGCGGCUUGUAAGUCAGAGGUGAAAUCCCGGGGCUCAACUCCGGAACUGCCUUUGAAACUGCAUCGCUUGAAUCCGGGAGAGGUGAGUGGAAUUCCGAGUGUAGAGGUGAAAUUCGUAGAUAUUCGGAAGAACACCAGUGGCGAAAGGCG
This 200-nucleotide ribosomal RNA is filed under the name uncultured bacterium. Its description in RNAcentral is "partial 16S ribosomal RNA". It matches the Rfam family "Bacterial small subunit ribosomal RNA", at positions 524 to 723 of the family's 1533-position model. The record is from RNAcentral.